GAUGAACGCUAGCGGCAGGCCUAACACAUGCAAGUCGAGGGGCAGCACAGAAACAGCAAUGUUUUGGUGGCGACCGGCGGACGGGUGCGUAACGCGUAUGCAACCUACCUUUAACAGGGGGAUAACGGAGAGAAAUUUCCACUAAUACCCCAUAACAUCGAUCAAGGCAUCUUGAUUGGUUGAAAACUCCGGUGGUUAAAGAUGGGCAUGCGUUGUAUUAGGUAGUUGGUGAGGUAAUGGCUCACCAAGCCUACGAUACAUAGGGGGACUGAGAGGUUAGCCCCCCACACUGGUACUGAGACACGGACCAGACUCCUACGGGAGGCAGCAGUGAGGAAUAUUGGUCAAUGGGGGCAACCCUGAACCAGCCAUGCCGCGUGCAGGGAGACGGCUCUAUGAGUUGUAAACUGCUUUUAAACAGGGAUAAAGCACAGUAUGUAUACUGUGUUGAAGGUACUGUAAGAAUAAGGAUCGGUUAACUCCGUGCCAGCCGCCGCCCGUAA
This 503-nucleotide ribosomal RNA is filed under the name uncultured bacterium. RNAcentral's name for it is "partial 16S ribosomal RNA". It matches the Rfam family "Bacterial small subunit ribosomal RNA", at positions 28 to 523 of the family's 1533-position model. The record is from RNAcentral.